RNAcentral lists this transfer RNA (509 nucleotides) under uncultured Flavobacteriaceae bacterium. RNAcentral's name for it is "16S-23S ribosomal RNA intergenic spacer". The stretch from base 312 to 385 matches the Rfam family "tRNA". The record is from RNAcentral. Lineage: Bacteria; Pseudomonadati; Bacteroidota; Flavobacteriia; Flavobacteriales; Flavobacteriaceae.
AGAGAAUUAUCUAUCCAUUUUUUUGGUUAGAUAUGGAAAGACGACAAACAACAAACUGGCUUAAGACAAAUUUUUUCUUUUUCGCUUAGCUGUCAUUUUUUUUAAUAAAUACUGUAUGAGAAAUCCAACAAGUAGAGCCUCGUAGCUCAGCUGGUUAGAGCGCUACACUGAUAAUGUAGAGGUCGGCAGUUCGAGUCUGCCCGAGACUACAACAAAUUAAUUAUUACUUAUGGAUUUAAUUACAUUAAAUAGAGGAUUUAGGGUUGACAAUGCCCCUGAAUUAGGGAAAGUUGUUCCUUUUUUCAUCAAAUGGGGAAUUAGCUCAGCUGGCUAGAGCACUUGAUUUGCAUUCAAGAGGUCAUCGGUUCGACUCCGAUAUUCUCCACAAAUACGUUCAUUGACAUAUUGAAAAUACAAGAGUUAACUAUUAUUGAAAAAUAAUAGAGAACGAGCAAAAUAUAAUAGAGAAUUUUUUAGAAGCAAUUUUAAAGAAAGAGUAAUUAAGUUAC